Molecule: small RNA, 526 nt
Filed under: Pan troglodytes (chimpanzee)
Lineage: Eukaryota; Metazoa; Chordata; Mammalia; Primates; Hominidae
Description: retained intron
Source: RNAcentral
GAGCAGGAGUUAGAACAGGAAUUAGCCGAGCAGAAGAGUCUCCUUCGCUCAGUAGCCAGUCGUGGAGAGGAGAUUCUAAUUCAACAUUCGGCGGCAGAGACUUCUGGUGAUGCUGGCGAAAAACCUGAUGUGUUAUCCCAGGAGUUGGGGAUGGAAGGGGAGAAAUCAUCUGCUGAAGACCAGAUGAGAAUGAAAUGGGAAAGCCUACAUCAAGAAUUUAGUACCAAGCAGAAACUACUACAGAAUGUUCUGGAACAGGAACAAGAGCAAGUGCUUUAUAGCAGGCCAAAUCGACUCUUGUCUGGUGUGCCACUGUACAAAGGGGACGUGCCAACCCAAGAUAAAUCUGCAGUUACAUCUUUGCUGGAUGGACUGAACCAAGCCUUCGAGGAGGUUUCAUCCCAGAGUGGAGGGGCAAAGAGGCAGAGUAUACACUUGGAGCAGAAGUUGUAUGAUGGAGUCUCAGCCACCUCUACUUGGUUGGAUGACGUUGAAGAACGUUUAUUUGUUGCCACAGCACUUUUAC